This 482-nucleotide ribosomal RNA is filed under the name uncultured bacterium. Its description in RNAcentral is "partial 16S ribosomal RNA". It matches the Rfam family "Bacterial small subunit ribosomal RNA", at positions 28 to 507 of the family's 1533-position model. The record is from RNAcentral.
GAUGAACGCUAGCGGCAGGCCUAAUACAUGCAAGUCGGACGGGAUUCAGGAGCUUGCUUCUGAUGAGAGUGGCGCACGGGUGCGUAACACGUAUGUAACCUACCUUUAUCAGGGGGAUAGCCUCUCGAAAGAGAGAUUAAGCCCGCAUAAAAUCACAGCACAGCAUUGUGUAAUGAUCAAAUAUUUAUAGGAUAAAGAUGGGCAUGCGGAACAUUAGCUAGAUGGCGGGGUAACGGCCCACCAUGGCGACGAUGUUUAGGGGAUCUGAGAGGAUGGCCCCCCACACUGGUACUGAGACACGGACCAGACUCCUACGGGAGGCAGCAGUAAGGAAUAUGGGUCAAUGGGCGGAAGCCUGAACCAGCCAUGCCGCGUGCAGGAAGACGGCCCUACGGGUUGUAAACUGCUUUUAGACGGGAAUAAACCCAGAUACGUGUAUCUGGCUGAAUGUACUGUAAGAAUAAGGAUCGGCUAACUCCGUG